RNAcentral lists this ribosomal RNA (466 nucleotides) under uncultured bacterium. Its description in RNAcentral is "partial 16S ribosomal RNA". It matches the Rfam family "Bacterial small subunit ribosomal RNA", at positions 29 to 507 of the family's 1533-position model. The record is from RNAcentral.
ACGAACGCUGGCGGCGUGCUUAACACAUGCAAGUCGAACGGAAAGGCCCUGCUUUUGUGGGGUGCUCGAGUGGCGAACGGGUGAGUAACACGUGAGUAACCUGCCCUUGACUUUGGGAUAACUUCAGGAAACUGGGGCUAAUACCGGAUAGGAGCUCCUGCUGCAUGGUGGGGGUUGGAAAGUUUCGGCGGUUGGGGAUGGACUCGCGGCUUUCAGCUUGUUGGUGGGGUAGUGGCUUACCAAGGCUUUGACGGGUAGCCGGCCUGAGAGGGUGACCGGCCACAUUGGGACUGAGAUACGGCCCAGACUCCUACGGGAGGCAGCAGUGGGGAAUAUUGCACAAUGGGCGGAAGCCUGAUGCAGCAACGCCGCGUGCGGGAUGACGGCCUUCGGGUUGUAAACCGCUUUCGCCUGUGACGAAGCGUGAGUGACGGUAAUGGGUAAAGAAGCACCGGCUAACUACGUG